Molecule: ribosomal RNA, 566 nt
Filed under: uncultured archaeon
Lineage: Archaea
Description: bacterial SSU rRNA
Rfam family: Archaeal small subunit ribosomal RNA
Source: RNAcentral
CUACGACGGGUACGGGUUGUGAGAGCAAGAGCCCGGAGAUGGAUUCUGAGACACGAAUCCAGGCCCUACGGGGUGCAGCAGGCGCGAAAACUUUACAAUGCUGGCAACAGCGAUAAGGGAACCUCGAGUGCCAGGUUACAAAUCUGGCUGUCGAGAUGCCUAAAAAGCAUUUCAUAGCAAGGGCCGGGCAAGACCGGUGCCAGCCGCCGCGGUAACACCGGCGGCUCGAGUGGUAACCGUUAUUAUUGGGUCUAAAGGGUCUGUAGCCGGCCGGAUAAGUCUCUUGAGAAAUCUGGCAGCUUAACUGUCAGGCUUUCAGGAGAUACUGUCUGGCUCGAGGCCGGGAGAGGUGAGAGGUACUUCAGGGGUAGGGGUGAAAUCUUGUAAUCCUUGAAGGACCACCAGUGGCGAAGGCGUCUCACCAGAACGGACCUGACGGCAAGGGACGAAAGCUAGGGGCACGAACCGGAUUAGAUACCCGGGUAGUCCUAGCCGUAAACGAUACUCGCUAGGUGUCGGCCACGGUGCGACCGUUGUCGGUGCCGUAGGGAAGCCGUGAAGCGAGC